GGAGGAGAAGAAGAAGAAGAAGAAGAAAAGGAAGAAAAGGAAGAAGAAAAGAAGAGAGAGAGUAAAGAAAGCCAGUGAGGGUUGCAGGCAGUUAUCUGGGAACACAGGAAACGGGCUCCAGAGAAUCUCAGCACCCAGUGCCUUGCCCUGAAGCUGGCUUCUUCCCACUCCUGACCCUCACUGGGCCUACCCACAUCUGUAACAUCUGUAACUUGGGGUACUGCAAGGCCAUAGAGCAGAGGGAGGGAGGUUCCUUACCAGAUGCCUUUGCUGGAUGACUUGCACAGACUGUCACUUACAAGCACACCACCGGAUCCCUCGUGGUAUCCAUACUGAGAGGGUCCAUGGGGCUCAAAGAGACAAACACUCAGACCUGAGCACCAGGAAGGAGGCAGUGGAAGGAAUGGAAUGGAGGACCACAAGGCAGGAAGACCAGCAUGGUGCCAGUCUCAGAAUCUCCCAAGCAGAUGGAAGAAGGUAGGCAUAGAGAAGAGAUAGGGAAAUCAUUUCACUUUCUCAUAUACCUCCUCCC
RNAcentral lists this long non-coding RNA (532 nucleotides) under Fukomys damarensis (Damara mole-rat). Its description in RNAcentral is "lncRNA (ENSFDAG00000032955.1)". Lineage: Eukaryota; Metazoa; Chordata; Mammalia; Rodentia; Bathyergidae. The record is from RNAcentral.